Long non-coding RNA from Physella acuta, 189 nucleotides. RefSeq lists it as uncharacterized. The record is from RefSeq and is a predicted model, not a curated record. Lineage: Eukaryota; Metazoa; Mollusca; Gastropoda; Physidae.
AAAAAACAAUAAUCAGCUUAACUAUAAAUAAAGCUAGUUUGACUUAAACCUUACUUCACAGUCAUACUAUUGCCAGUGAAUAUCCCAAGAUGCUUCCAAUAGUCUUCGCCUUUGCCUUUAUUGGCUCAUGCUUUGCAGUACAGGAGAAGUCUUUUCUUGACUGGUAUACCCCUACUCCUCCAUUUAUUG